UAAGAGCUAUGGCCAAGAUCUUUUAAUCUCGACCGUUCAUAACAUUUGAUCAAUGGUCCAGGAUCUGUUUGGUUGAAUUACAUAAAUAUGUAAUAACUCCUUCACCAUAGUCAAAGACAUACUGUCUCUUCCUUGUACAAACUCCCUCAUCGUCUUUCGCCGUCCUCCGCCUAUCCCCGCAGGCCAAAAAUCGCCUCCGCCGGCGGCAGAGCUCCAAACGACCUCAAAUUUCUACCCCAUGAUACUCUCUUCCUCCUCGUUCAGUAUAUGUCAUCAUCUUCUCUCAAACCCAACCCAUCUCCUUGAAUUUCAGAUCUAAAAAUUGAUGGAAAACCCUAGUUCAUCCAAACUUUACAAAAUCGAUACUAAAUGACCCCCUGACAUCCCUUUCCACGAAUCCUUGGUUGAAACCCUUCAAAUCUCUCUGAAGCUCAUGAAGCUGUGGAGCUAGGGUUCUGUCAGUUUGGACCCGUUGGAAGAUUUUUCAAAGUCGAUUCGACUUCCCAUUAAAUUUAUUUGCUUAUUUUUUGUUAAAUAGACAAAUAACAUUUAUCGGAUUUUGAUUCCGAUGGGGUUUUCUGGGCAAAAGUAUGUGUAAGUUUCUUCUUUAGUUUUUAUCGGUUUCUUUUGUUCGUUCUCAUUAGUUUUGAUAUUUGUUCGUGUAAUCCAUGUUCCCAUUGUUCUUUCGCUUUAUUUCCGUUUAAUCAGUUUACACAAAGAAGAAUUGAAUUAGUUAAGCUCACCUUUUUGGAUUGUUCAAUCGUAAUUCUUUGGUUCCUAGUUUGGUUUACCUCUUUGAUUUUCAAUCUAGUUUAAUUCCUUGUUUAAUUCUUUAAUGUGAUUCCUUGUUUUGUUAAGUUCUGAUUUCCAUAUUUGUUUUCUUUUCUUCUUUUGUCCAAACACUGUUUGAUUUUGUUAGAUAAAUAAUCAAUUACUAAUUAGUCACUAGUCUAAUUAGGUUUUCCCUUUAUCCUGUUUUUUUGAAGUUAAAUUUGGAACUCGUUUUGGAUUAAUUCAGUUAAGUAUUAGUUGUUCAUUGUUAGUGUUAAUUAGUUCAUUGAUAAGUUAGGUUGAAUGGAUAUAGCUGAAUUUAGUUAACUUUGGUUAAUUCCUAACUGGGGUGAGGGAUUGGAAUCAGUUAACUUAGUCUGUAAUUUUCAGACUGUUGGAAAGGCACUUUAGGCAUAGAAAAGGGUAGUUUCUUUAGGAAUUCUAAUUUCAAAGUAAGGGUAAGGGUAGUGUAGGUAUUUCAUAGCCAAAAGAAUCCCUUAGGGUCUUCUAGAAGGGGGCCUUAGUGUAUGUUCUCUGCAUUUUUAUGCAGUAACUUGGGUGACAAGCCAUUAAAAUAGGGUCUAAUGGCCAAAUCCUGAAAAUAAAGUGGGGGAAGAUGAAUAAAAGGGUCCAGAAUAUUUUGUCCCAAUUUUGGCCUAUAAAAGGCAACCCAAAUGCCUUCUUGAACAAGUAUACACUCUCUGAAAAACUGCAGAGAUUUCAGCCAUCAAAAUAUAGUCUCUCCUUCUAGUUUUUAGUUUUUUUUUGAAUUUGAGAUUCAAAGCACAAAACCCAAAAACAAUAGAAAAUAGAAAAAUCAGAAUAUAGUACUGUUUCAUUGCCUAGUUUAGCCCAUUUUUCAAUUCUUAUUUGAAUUCCUCUGCUCUUGCUUGAUCUGUGGGUUUACAAAGGCGUCUGGAGGCAUUUGGUAGCUGGUUUAGUACAUUUGGGUUGAAUAUUUGAGCAUUUGACACUAUUUUGGAUAAUUGAACUGGUUUUUAUCCCUACUGUUGUUGUGUUCACUUUAUUUCUGGGCUAUUCCUUCUAUUUUUUGGGUUUUCAAUUGCCACUGUGUUGUUGCUCGGCUUUUGCUGCUACUGACCUUCUCUCCUACUUAUUUAUGUUCAUUUCCAAGUAUUUUUCCAGCUUCAUGUGGUGUUGAAAAGUUGAAUCCAUGUAUAUUGAUCGAAUUGAGGAAAUAAAAUGUGGAUCAUGCUAAUCUGAUAUCAAUGUAUGCAAUUUUAUGUUAAUUUCAAUUGUAAUUUAACAAUAGUGUUAGUAAAGACUUGGUUGAUUGAAACACUUGAAAAAUUGUGAUAACUGAACUGUAAUAGGACUGUCCAUUUUUAAAUUAAGGAUUUGUUGAAUUUGUGCUGAUAAACUCAUGAAUACACUAGCUGAUUAUGCGAUGUAGUAGCAGAUGCAGCUGAACUUAUUUAGUUUCGGCUUGCUGUUGUAGUUUAACGCCAUAAACUAUUUGAUUAAGGUUUGAGUUGUGUGGUAAUUUGCGUGAGGAUUAUGAACUGAUAAUUUCUAGAUUAAUGACUAUGGAAUGGAGGUACCUAUAUCUCUUGUUUAAGUAUAAAAUCAGCGGACUCAUUUAGCUUAAUACUAGUAUUAGCUAAAUCAAUUGGUAUGCUAAAUGUAUGGUCAAGUCAGUAAUAGUUUAAGUCCAUUGCUGCCUGGAAAACAAAAAAAAUGGAAAACUACUUAAACUUUGUUUAAAUUAAAAUUGUGAAUUUAGCAAUCAAAGUCUUAUGCGUUGAAUUAUAGUUUUCUGUUGCAGCUCAAUGAAGUAAAUUGAAUCUGUGCAUAUGAACGUCAUUGGGCCUGUGUGUGGUUUCUUGUUUUGGGUUGGGCUCAUUUUGAGCUAACUUGGUCAUAUUGUGUAUCGUUGCCCAGACUGGUUUCCAUACCAUGUCUGCCUUAUGGGCCUGCCUAUUGCCAACAUUUGGGCCUAGUUAUUUUUGCAAGGAAGAUGCAGUAGAGUCUGAUCCCUUUCAUAUGAAAUGGCCUAUCGAAUUGGGCCUGUUUUUUACGUACUGCGACUCGAGGUUUGAAUAAUCAGAAUUCGGGUUUUGUGUUAGGUAGCGGGUUCAAGCUAAAAGGUUCUUCCAUUUCUUUGGGCUCG
This 2902-nucleotide long non-coding RNA is filed under the name Nicotiana benthamiana. RNAcentral's name for it is "long non-coding RNA (NBEN_LNC031764)". Lineage: Eukaryota; Viridiplantae; Streptophyta; Magnoliopsida; Solanales; Solanaceae. The record is from RNAcentral.